RNAcentral lists this ribosomal RNA (253 nucleotides) under uncultured bacterium. RNAcentral's name for it is "partial 16S ribosomal RNA". It matches the Rfam family "Bacterial small subunit ribosomal RNA", at positions 524 to 776 of the family's 1533-position model. The record is from RNAcentral.
UACGAAGGAGGCUAGCGUUGGUCGGAAUCACUGGGCGUAAAGCGCACGUAGGCGGAUUUGUCAGUCAGGGGUGAAAUCCCGGGGCUCAACCUCGGAACUGCCUUUGAUACAGCAAAUCUCGAGUCCGGAAGAGGUGGGUGGAAUUCCUAGUGUAGAGGUGAAAUUCGUAGAUAUUAGGAAGAACACGAGUGGCGAAGGCGGCCCACUGGUCCGGUACUGACGCUGAGGUGCGAAAGCGUGGGGAGCAAACAGG